ACUUAUUCUCUCUCCUGCCGCCCCGUGAAGAGAUGCUUUCCACCAUGAUUUUAAGUUUCCUGAGGCCUCCCCAGCCACAUGGAACUAUAUGGCCAACAUAUCUGCUAGAGGGUCUGACGGAGAGAAGAAUUUAAUCGAUGUCUGUUGAAUUUGCUCAAGUAAGUAAAACAGAAAAACUGUUUUAUAAACAGCAACAAAGUGCAGUAGUCAUUACUAGAUAAAGGAAGAAUAAGCUAUGGGCCCACUGAAUUUCCAAGCAACUUGCAGUUCUGCAAAGAAUAUUAUCAGCUGAGAGGCAACCACUAUUUUACUCUUCGAAUCUAUGAUAUUGACCAUUUUUGAUAUCUCAUAUUUGAAGUUUGUGGCAACCCUGUAUCAAGUAAGUCCACUGGUGCCAUUUUUCCAACAGCACAUGCUAACUUCAUGUCUCUGUCACAGUUUAGUAAUUCUUAGAAUAGUUUAAUCUUUUUCAUUAUUAUUACAUCUGUUAUAGUAAUCAUUAUAUCUGAUACAGUGAAUAUAGUGAUAUUAUACUGUUAUAAUCAGUGGUCCCUGAAGCUGGCAGAGGUUGGCUCAUGAGGUGUAAGGAAAAAAGGCAUCUCUAUAACAUAAAAGUGCAAGGUGAAGCAGCAAGUGCUGAUGUAGAAGCGCAGCAAGUUAUCCAGAAGAUGUAGCUAAGAUCACUAGUGAAGGCAGCUAUAAUAAACAACAGAUUUUCAAUAUAGAGAAAACAGCCUUGUAUUUGAAGACAAUGUUAUCUAAGACUUUCACAGCUAAAGAGGAGAAGUUACUGCCUGCUUCAAAGCUUCAAAGACAGGCUGACUUUCUUGUUAGUAGCUAAUGCACUUGGUGACUUUAAGUGGAAGCCAGUGCUCUUUUACCAUUCCAGAAAUCUCAGGGUCCAUAAGAAUUAUGCUAAAUCUACUCUGCUUAUGCUCUGUAAAUGAACAAAGCCUGGAUGACAGCACAUCUGCUUACAGCAUGGUUUACUGAAUAUUUUGAGCCCACUAUUGAAACUUAUGUUAGAAAAAAAUAUUAUUGCUCACUGACAAUGUAUGCAGUCGCCCAAGAGCGCUGAUGGAGAUUUACAAGGAGAUUAAUGUGUCGUCAUGCCUGUUAACACAACUUGCAUUUUGUGGCACACGGAUCAAGAACUAACUGUGACUUUCGAGUCUUAUUAAUUAUUUAAGAAACACAUUUGGUAAGACAAUAGCUGCUAUAAAUUGUGAUUCCUCUUACUGAUCUGGGAAAACUGAACUGAAAACCUUCUAGAAAGAGCCACAAUUCUAUAUACCAUAACAAACAUUCGUGAUUCAUGGGAAAAGACAAAAAUAUCAACAUUACCAGGAAUUUGGAAGAAGUUGAUUUCAACCCUUGUGGAUGGCUUUGAGGGGUUCUAGCAUUCGGUGGAGGAUGUAACAGCAGAUGUGGAUGUGGUGGAAACAGCAAGAGAACUAGAAGUGGACACUGAAGAUGGGACUGAAUUCCUACAAUCUCAUGAUAAAACUUGAACAAAUCAGGAGUUGCUCCUUAUGGAUGAGCAAAGAAAGUGGUUUCUUGAGAUGGAAUCUACUCCUGGUGAAGAUGUUGUGAACAUUGUUCAAGUGACCCAAAGGAUAUAGAACAUUAGAUGAACUUAUUUGAUAAAGCAGUGCCAGGGUUUGAGAGAACUGAUUUCAAGUUUUAAAAGUUCUGUGUGGGUAAAAUGCUAUCAAAUAGCACUGCAUACUACAGAGAAAUCUUUUGUGAACGGAAGAGUCAGUCAAUGCAGCCAACUUCAUUGUUGUCCUAUUUUAAGAAAUUGCCACAGCCAUCCAACCCUCAGCAACCACCACUUUGAUCAGUCAGCAGCCAUCAACAUUAAGGCAAGACCCUCCACCAGCAAAAAUACAAAGACUUGCUGAAGGCUGAGAUGAGCAUUAGUGUUUGUUAUACAUUUUGUGAAUUAAAGAAUAGAGUAUUCUUUAAUUAAGGUAUGUAUUUUUUUUAGACAAAGUGCUAUCACACAAUUAAGAGACUACAGUAUAUAGCAAACAUAACUUUUAUACACAAUGGGAAAACAAAAAAUUUGUGUGACUCACUUAACUGCAAUUUUCACUCUAUUGUGGUUGUGGUGAUCUGGAACCAAACCCUCAGCAUCUUUGAGGUAUGCUUGUGUGUGUGUGCACAACUUGACUCUGAGUUAACUGUCUUAUUCUUCUCUUUUAUUUCUUAGCAAAUUUGCCAUGAUUUAAAAAAGAAAAACAGCUUAUAUUUAUAUUCCUACUUCCUCAUUCCUCAUUUACUUCUCAACCAUCUGUUGGCUUUUACUCAUAUCACUUUAUGGAAGAGAGGUCAUGCCAAAGUUAUAUACAUGGUUCCUUGUUCCUGGAGGGGAUAUCCAUUUGCAAUAGAUAUAAAUAAGUGUGGAGAUAUAUAUAUACACACACACACACACACAUACAUAUAUAUGUAUGUAUGUAUGCAGGCUUUUAUAUAUGUAUUACUGUGUAUCACAGAACUUUGUUAUAGCUUCUGAAGUUAGAAAAACAAACAAUAUAAUAUGCAGUUCCAAGAACAUUUUAAUUUUUAUGUUAGAUAGAGACAAAAUUAAAUGAAACAUCACCACAACUGAAUGUUAACUACUUAAUUUUCAAAAUUGCCUUGGCAUUAAUAAAGGUUAUAUGUUUUUAGG
Molecule: antisense RNA, 2674 nt
Filed under: Pongo abelii (Sumatran orangutan)
Lineage: Eukaryota; Metazoa; Chordata; Mammalia; Primates; Hominidae
Rfam family: mir-1255 microRNA precursor family (bases 1529-1594)
Source: RNAcentral